GGGGCUGUAGCUCAGCUGGUAGAGCGCUUGCAUGGCAUGCAAGAGGUCACGAGUUCGAUCCUCGUCAGCUCCACCA
Molecule: transfer RNA, 76 nt
Filed under: Candidatus Omnitrophota bacterium
Lineage: Bacteria; Pseudomonadati; Candidatus Omnitrophota
Description: tRNA-Ala
Rfam family: tRNA
About the family: Transfer RNA (tRNA) molecules are approximately 80 nucleotides in length. Their secondary structure includes four short double-helical elements and three loops (D, anti-codon, and T loops). Further hydrogen bonds mediate the characteristic L-shaped molecular structure. tRNAs have two regions of fundamental functional importance: the anti-codon, which is responsible for specific mRNA codon recognition, and the 3' end, to which the tRNAs corresponding amino acid is attached (by aminoacyl-tRNA synthetases). tRNAs cope with the degeneracy of the genetic code in two manners: having more than one tRNA (with a specific anti-codon) for a particular amino acid; and 'wobble' base-pairing, i.e. permitting non-standard base-pairing at the 3rd anti-codon position.
Source: RNAcentral